Molecule: long non-coding RNA, 1528 nt
Filed under: Homo sapiens (human)
Lineage: Eukaryota; Metazoa; Chordata; Mammalia; Primates; Hominidae
Description: non-protein coding lnc-UCHL3-13:1
Source: RNAcentral
CAAAAUCUGGCGGAAGUGACAUUGCCUAAGCCCAAGCCAGCAGUGGCCUGGGGACUCAGGAAUUGUCCAUGGGCUACCCUUCAAAUGACAAUAUCUUGUUCUUUGGCUGAUAUAAUGAGUGAACAGUUGGUCAAAGAACUGCAGUUAGGGGAAGAAACUGUCACUUUUCCUCAAGUAGCUGUUGCUAAAAGACCAUUUAUUACUGAAGAAAACAUUGACACUUCCAGUGACCUAAUGUUGGCUCAGAUAUUAUACAUGGAAUUUGGCAAAGAAUAUGAUGCACAAUUAGACAUAAAGAAAAGAAAAUUCAGUGGAGAUAGAAAAGUUUCCAUGUCCUUUGAAAAUUAUUGAAAAGUGCAUCCUGAUGAAGACAGUGAUAGCUCUGAAGGUGAGGCUGAUUGGCAGGAUACUCAUGAUGAUCUCUACUGACUAGCAAAACCAGUUCCCACUCCCACAAAGGGUUUUAUUGGAAAAGGAAAAGGCAUUGCCACCAAACAUCAUGAAGUAGUAUGUGGGAGAAAGAAUCCAGCAAGAACGGAAAAUUUUGCACCUGCAUUUCAGGUAGAAGACAGAAUGGAUUUAAAACUACCAAACAAAGUUUUUGAUGCUUCAAAACACCAUGCCUACUCAGAAGAACAGCAAAGUGCCUGCCUCCACAAGAAAAAGGAGCAUUCUACGGAAGAAAAUGCAGUUGAUCCUGAGACAUGUUUUCUUAUGUAAAAAUGGUCAACUCUGGAAUGUUUGAGACAAUCAUUGACUAUUAGUACAGGAGAGAAAUCUAUUGUCUUUCAUGUAUACAGAAAGAGCACGGAGGAUGAAAAGAAAUAUAGUAAAGUUAUACCUACAGAAUGUGCCAUCAUGGUAUUUACAACAACCCUUAAUGAGUGGAAGAUUCAUGACAAAUAAGUUAAAGAUGAUCUUAGGUUUCAAGAUCACCUCAGUAAACUAAGUCCACAUAAGAUUAUUCACAUGUGGGCAGAAAGCGAAAUCCACAAUCUCUCAAGAAUGCAGAGAACUAGAAUUCCUCAUCCAACAGUUAUACAACUUGAGUGCAAGAAAUACAUUUUAGUUAUGUCUUUUAUUGGCCAUGAUUAUGUUCCAGCCCCUAAAUUAAAAGAAGUAAAGCUCAGUAGUGAAGGAAUGGAAGAAACCUACUAACAAACUCUUCAUUUGAUGCAGCGGUUAUGUAAUGAAUGUACACUUUUUUAUACCAACCUCAGCAAGUAUAACAUACUUUGGCAUGCUGCAAAGGUCUGGUUGUUUGACAUCAGUCAGUCAGAAGAACCAACGUGUCUUAAUGGACUGGAAUCAUUGUUCCAUGACUAUAAAAUGUCUCACACUUUUUCCAGAAAGGAGUAGUAAGGAAAGCCAUUAAUGAAUGAGACCUCUUCAAUGCUGUUUUAAACAUCUCAGCAGAUAAUGAAGGGGAUUUUUUUAGCUAAGACAGAAGCUUUGGAGAAAAUGAAUGAAGAUCACAUUCAGAAGAAUGGAAAGAAAGCUGCUUCAUGCCCACCAGUAUUGUAUGGUG